Molecule: long non-coding RNA, 621 nt
Filed under: Nicotiana benthamiana
Lineage: Eukaryota; Viridiplantae; Streptophyta; Magnoliopsida; Solanales; Solanaceae
Description: long non-coding RNA (NBEN_LNC017696)
Source: RNAcentral
AUGAUGAAAUUGGAAGAUUAUUGAGCAAGAAAAAGGAUGAAACACGAGCUCGAGUAGUUUAUCAAGACCACCUUAGUUUGAGAAGCAAGAUAUGAGCAACAUUCUAGAUAACAGAUCCAACAUUGUUCCCCUAGAACCUUGAACUAGGUGAAAUUUUGCCAAAUUAUCCAUGCGAAAGUAGAACUAGAUUAAAAAUUGAUUAGAAGUAGAAAGUGUAUACGGAUAAAAUCGGGGAUGUAGCAUAUCCCGUUUUCCCGGUGAAGAAAACAAAAGAAGCGCAUGAAUGCACAAGACUGAAAUUGAGGCCGGGAACCUUUCGUAUCGAGACUCAUGAAAGAAGAACGAUGUGUUCAUCACCGGACAUGAUACAACAACGUUCUCAAACCCAGAACGAGUUCUAAAACCUUUUGAAACACGGUAAAUAAUUACGCACGGUGGAUAAAGGACAGUGAUCUUCGUACAUGACCGGAUAUCAUAUUGUGAAUCUCGCUUGAUGUCGGUUCGGAUCAGUAAUUAACAAGAAAGAAAUAUUUUUACCUUUUUUAGGCCUGUACUAAGGAUGAAGCUCUCGUACGGGAGGUUUUUUCUUUUGAUACACAUAUUGUAACAUGUGAAUCAAGG